Molecule: ribosomal RNA, 505 nt
Filed under: uncultured bacterium
Lineage: Bacteria
Description: partial 16S ribosomal RNA
Rfam family: Bacterial small subunit ribosomal RNA
Source: RNAcentral
GACGAACGCUGGCGGCGUGCCUAAUACAUGCAAGUAGAACGCACAGUUUAUACCGUAGCUUGCUACACCAUAGACUGUGAGUUGCGAACGGGUGAGUAACGCGUAGGUAACCUGCCUGGUAGCGGGGGAUAACUAUUGGAAACGAUAGCUAAUACCGCAUAAUAUUAAUUAUUGCAUGGUAAUUGAUUGAAAGAUGCAACUGCAUCACUACCAGCUGGACCUGUGUUGUAUUAGCUAGUAGGGGAGGUAACGGCCCACCUAGGCGACGAUCCAUAGCCGACCUGAGAGGGUGAGCCGCCACACCGGGAAUGGGACACGGCCCCGACUCCUACGGGAGGCAGCAGUAGGGAAUCUUCGGCAAUGGACGAAAGGCUGACCGAGCAACGCCGCGGGAGUGAAGAAGGUUCUCGGAUCGUAAAGCUUUGUUGUAAGAGAAGAACGGGUGUGAGAGUGGAAAGUGCACACUGUGACGGUACCUUACCAGAAAGGGACGGCUAACUACGUG